CUGGCGGCGUGCCUAAUACAUGCAAGUCGAGCGAACGGACGAGAAGCUUGCUUCUCUGAUGUUAGCGGCGGACGGGUGAGUAACACGUGGAUAACCUACCUAUAAGACUGGGAUAACUUCGGGAAACCGGAGCUAAUACCGGAUAAUAUUUUGAACCGCAUGGUUCAAAAGUGAAAGACGGUCUUGCUGUCACUUAUAGAUGGAUCCGCGCUGCAUUAGCUAGUUGGUAAGGUAACGGCUUACCAAGGCAACGAUGCAUAGCCGACCUGAGAGGGUGAUCGGCCACACUGGAACUGAGACACGGUCCAGACUCCUACGGGAGGCAGCAGUAGGGAAUCUUCCGCAAUGGGCGAAAGCCUGACGGAGCAACGCCGCGUGAGUGAUGAAGGUCUUCGGAUCGUAAAACUCUGUUAUUAGGGAAGAACAUAUGUGUAAGUAACUGUGCACAUCUUGA
Molecule: ribosomal RNA, 454 nt
Filed under: Staphylococcus aureus
Lineage: Bacteria; Bacillati; Bacillota; Bacilli; Caryophanales; Staphylococcaceae
Description: bacterial SSU rRNA
Rfam family: Bacterial small subunit ribosomal RNA
Source: RNAcentral